Molecule: ribosomal RNA, 739 nt
Filed under: uncultured bacterium
Lineage: Bacteria
Description: bacterial SSU rRNA
Rfam family: Bacterial small subunit ribosomal RNA
Source: RNAcentral
AGAGUUUGAUCCUGGCUCAGAGCGAACGGCGGCAGGCCUAACACAUGCAAGUCGAACGGAUCCUUCGGGAUUAGUGGCGGACGGGUGAGUAACACGUGGGAACGUGCCCUUUGGUUCGGGACAACUCAGGGAAACUUGAGCUAAUACCGGAUGUGCCCUUCGGGGGAAAGAUUUAUCGCCAUUGGAGCGGCCCGCGUCUGAUUAGCUAGUUGGUGAGGUAAAGGCUCACCAAGGCGACGAUCAGUAGCUGGUCUGAGAGGAUGAUCAGCCACAUUGGGACUGAGACACGGCCCAAACUCCUACGGGAGGCAGCAGUGGGGAAUCUUGCGCAAUGGGCGAAAGCCUGACGCAGCCAUGCCGCGUGAAUGAUGAAGGUCUUAGGAUUGUAAAAUUCUUUCAGCAGGGACGAUAAUGACGGUACCUGCAGAAGAAGCCCCGGCUAACUUCGUGCCAGCAGCCGCGGUAAUACGAAGGGGGCUAGCGUUGCUCGGAAUUACUGGGCGUAAAGGGCGCGUAGGCGGGUCGCUAAGUUGGGGGUGAAAGCCCAGGGCUCAACCCUGGAAUUGCCUUCAAUACUGGCGGCCUUGAGUAUGAGAGAGGUGUGUGGAACUCCGAGUGUAGAGGUGAAAUUCGUAGAUAUUCGGAAGAACACCAGUGGCGAAGGCGACACACUAGCUCAUUACUGNNNCUGAGGCGCGAAAGCGUGGGGAGCAAACAGGAUUAGAUACCCUAGUAGUCC